Long non-coding RNA from Taeniopygia guttata (zebra finch), 5774 nucleotides. Lineage: Eukaryota; Metazoa; Chordata; Aves; Passeriformes; Estrildidae. The record is from Ensembl.
UUUUUUUUUUUUGCAAAUAAAUCUUAUCACUUCCUUAGAAACACAGCACAGAAUGUGCAGAUGAGCAAUUUUUUUCCAAUCCAAAAAUCAAAUUAAUUUAUUAAAUAAGUUAAUGGAAGAAAAAAAACAAAGGCUACUUGUAAAAAUCUUAAGUAAACACAGAGCUUUUUUCUCUUUCUUUAAUAGGUAAAUGGCACAAAACACAGCCAGGGUACAGUCACAGUGUGUAAUCAUGGUCAUGAAAUGCCUACAAUGUAAAUGGACUUAAUGACAAAAUUAAACAAAUCUCAAUUAAAAGCACAAUAAUUCCAGACAGGCAAAACCCAUCACUCUCCCAGCUUCCCACUAAGUAGAUCUCCAAGCAUGGAAAGGUUGCCAGCUAUGGGGAACAGUUUAGAAAGUUAAUGACAGCACAAAUGGGAUUGACUGGAGACUGUAAUCCUGGCUCUGUAAGCAUUGCCAGAGGCCUGACAUGAAGGAACAAGUACUAUUUCGAGCAGACUGCAAAGCCAAGGCAAAGAUUAACAUCUGUCAGGAUCAGCUACAGAUGAGAUUCUUAUUGAUCCUUGAAUGUCACAAGAAUUUAGAAGGGCUCAAAAGAACUUUAAAGAGAAUAAUCAAGUUUCUGUGGAUUUGGUUUGUAAAUCUGAAGUACCUUUCCCACAUUUCAGCUAUUUUUUCUCAAACAGCUGUGUGUGAUGUAGUUCAGUGCUACAAGGCAGAAGAGCAAUUUCUUCCAACUUAGUCAGUGUCAAGCUUAGUCUUGCAGGAAAAGCAGUGGCAGGGAGCAGUUCUGGUGCUGUUACCAACCUCCAAGACAGCUUUUUGUGUUUGGACUGUGUUGCUGUGGAUUUUGUUUCUGCCUCAUCCGUAUCUAUCCUUACUAACAAGAUUAAGGCUUUGCUCACAUUCUUCUAAUUAAAAUGCUGUAAUUCUGAGAAGAGAUUCCACGUCUUCUUUUAGCAGGGCAAUCAGUACAUCUGUGAGUUCAAGUUACUAUUUUUUAACAUCAAAGCUUGCACAAAGAUAGCUCUUUUCCAUGCAGGCCAUGACUUUUUAUCCACUCUGGUUUGAAUAACAGGCUCCAUUUUGUAGUGGGAUCAAUAUCAUGUCCUACAAGGAAAGGGUGGGAGAGCUGGGAAUGCUCAGCCUGGAAGAGAGAAGGUUCCAGGGAGACAUAACAGCCCCUUCCAGUGCCCAAAGGGCUCUGAGAGAGACUUUGGACAGCCUGAAGUGACAGGACAAGGGGAAUGGCUCCCACUGCCAGAGGGCAGGGCUGGAUGGGAUAUUGGGAAUUAGGAAUUGCUCCCUGUGAGGGUGGGCAGCCCUGGCACAGGGUGCCCAGAGCAGCUGUGGCUGCCCCUGGGUCCCUGGCAGGGUCCAAGCCAGGCUGGACAGGGCUUGGAGCAGCCUGGGAUGGUGGAAGCUUUCCCUGCCAACCAAAGGCUGCAAACAUCUUGUCCUGUCAGGAGCACACGUGCAUUUUUCAGCAGAAUUUUUUCCUUAUCAAACUGGAAGAAGCAUGAUCUGAAUGGAGCAGGCCCAGGGAAGGGGACGGUGCUGGGGAAGGGGCUGCAGCACCAGGAGGGGCUGAGGGAGAUGGGAAAAAGGCUCAGCUUGGACAAAAGGAGGCUCAGGGGGAAUUUCUGGCUCUGCACAACUCCUGACAGGAGGGAACAGUCAGAGGGGUCGGGCUCUGCUCCAGGAAACAGGGACAGGAGGAGAGGGAACGGCCUCAGGCUGAGCCAGGGGAAGAUUGGAUAUUAGCGAAAAUUUCUUCACUUCUUCACUGAAGCCAUUGCCACAGGCUUGCCAAGGCACUGGUGGAGUGGAAUAUCUGGAAAUGUUAAAAAAACCAUGUAGAUGUGGUGCUUGGAGACAUGGUUUAGUGGUUUCAGAAGCCCCUCCUGCCCUCACUCCUUCCCCCUAUUUUCUCUGAGGUUGUGACACAGCACUAUGAGACAGUUUUGUUUAAUCAGCUUCUGCAAGUCUGUUUUGGUGAAUGUAGGUUGAGGAGACUCAUUACAUCAGUUUAAUCUCCCAGUCCAAGAGUUCCCACAUUUAAUCCACUGAUUGUUCUCACUGUGGAAAUGGGAAAAAAAAUAUUAAUAUCUAAUAUAAUAAAAGUUAACGAGGAAACUAAUAUGCUGGUAAACACAGGAACAGUAAUCUUCUAAUCCUGGCUUACUUUUAUAGGAAUUCCCUAAUUUCCAAGUCCACACAACAGGGAAGUCAGUGAGCCCCACAGAAAGAUGAAGUAUGAGUAGUUCAGAGAUGUCCAAUGCUAUCAGUGAUAGCACUGUGCUGCAAUUCAGGGAUUCAGAGCUGUCCAGACUCAGAGCAGGGCCAAAGAGAGUUCUAGAAAAUAUGGUAGAAACACUAAAGGGCAGUUUAAAGGAAAAAGAGGCAUCUUUCCCAUUAUCAUUUGUACUGAAGCAAAAAUGCUUUCAACCACCAGAUGAUGCCAGAAAAUGUAAAGACCCUUCAAAUCCUCCUCACAUGAGCGAGUUGCCAAACACAUUUAUAAGAGCUGCUGAGACUGCCAGGUCAGUCCAACUCCCUGUUUCCUGUUCUUAAGCAAAGGUUGCUGAACUUCAUUUAAACUUCUUUGCUCUCUGUUCUGUGCUUGAAGGAUUCCCACAGCACAGGACAGGAUCUGAUCUUUCCUUUACAGACACUCUUCUGCUGAGCUGUCCUUUUGCACAGAGGGUCUGUGUGGCCAGGGGAGCUGUUCAAAGACAUUUAUUCCAGAGACAGCUGCAGGCUCCCAGCAAGGGAGGACGUCCUACAUGCUGCAUCAUUCACUGCUCUGCGUGUUAAACCCUUCAAGCUUUGUGUGAGGUGAGGAUAUUCCAGAGCUGUCAGGCUCCAGAGGUUCAAGAUCCAGACAAACAAACCCCUUCCCACAUUGAAAUGUCACCUUAAAUUUCAUUUCACCUUAAAUGGCUGAGCAGGGAAUAAAAACCUCCUAUCUUAAAACAUCCACAGCAGCUGCCUCCCCUCAGACUCUGACAUAAUACAAAGAUGGAAAACUCCUACUCCCCACUGCCGGCUGGGUCUGUGCCCAGCAGCCCAGCUGAAAUAUGGCCCCAGUUCAAACUGUCUCUGCUCUCUGGGAGCAUGAGCAGAUUUGUCGUGCAGCAGCUGCCUGACACACUCGGGAUGCUGAGAGCUGAAGUUUGGGCUGUGCUUCUCUGGCCUGGCAGGUUUGGUGCUGGGGUGGCAUCUGAAGGAGAGCUGAGAUUCUCAGAGCAUAGGAAUGAAGUAACACCUAAAUGAAUCUCUCUGCUAACUCAGCACAAGGAAACACUACUUGGAUUAGUUUCUCUGCAUAUAUAUUUUGUUGCUUAUGUACAGAAUCCCUCCCAUUUUGUUACCACCCGUCUUUAGAGUAGCCAGCAGUUGUCUGGCAUUGUGAGUUAAUGCAGCAAUGAGUUAAAACAAUCACACAGCAAGGAGUAAAUACCUUCCACAGCAGAUGAAAGCCAAGAUGCUGAAGAGGUCCCACGUGUGCUGCAGAGAAGGCAGUGUGGGGCAGCAGCUCUGAGGCAGCUGGACUCAAUGUGUGACAGGAGAAGGCAGGAGCCUUGCAGAUAAAGGAGUCAGAAAGCACGUGGAGCAGCACUUGGAGCUGGAGAGGAAACAAAACAGAGGAUGUCAACACAUAGGCAUGAGCAGGGGCAGGAGUGAGAGAGCCAGAGAACAGAUUUUUAGGGAUGGCUGUCUCUCCUGCUGCUUUUUAAUCCGUCCACUCCAUAAGGAAAGGUACAGAAAAGGGUUUUGGUAAAGACAGAAGGAGCUGGUACACACAUGGAUUACAAACACUGGCAAAACCACUCUUGUUUUUCUGCCACUUGAGGCAUGCAGACACUAAAAUACAAUGAACAAAUAAGGACAAUAAGGCAAAUAAAAGCACGUGAAGAAAUAGGAUCAGUUUCCCAAACAUCCUGAACACUUGUGCUUUGCAGUGGCUUACUCUGCUGCCAAGGAAUCAAGAUGAUCUCUCAGGCUGAGCUCAGAAAAACAUACAGGGGAAAAUAUAGGUACGGAGCAUUUUGCAUGGUGUCAACACACUUCCACAGAAAGCAGGUUUUAAUCCUCAGUACGUGCUGAGUACAGACAUACAAACUGUGAAAGCCCAGGGGUAAGAAUUCCAGCAGCAGAGUUUACAAACCAGCCCUGUUUCUUCAUGGAAAAUGAUGCAGCACCAUUGUCUGGAGUGCAGGAGCUGCAAGGUGGGACCCCCUUUGCUAGUUUUCUUCUUCUGACAUUAGAAGGAAUAUCUGAAAGGUUUAAGCAAUUGUAAAAACCUCAUGUUUUUCUUGGUAAACUACCCCAGAUGACAGGAGACUCCUAUUUCUCCUGCAAGAACUACUUGUGCUUGCAGAGAACAUUACAAGAUGACACUGCAAUCUGAUAACUCAGUGUUUCUGUGGUUUACUUUGUUUUAUUUGGUGGUGUUUCCAGAUUUUUUUGUGGAAAUUUCUACCCUGUUUCUUAGGAGGUUUUACCCUCUCAUUUCAAAACUACACCACAUCUAAGAGGUUCCUGCUGUGCAGGGAAAGAAAACCCUUUUUUCCACCUCUUUGGUAACUAAAUUUUUAAGCCACCAGCAAGUAGCAAAAACACUUCAAAGCUGAAAGUUUUUCUUGCACCCAACUAAAGUAUUCGCUCAGUUUAGAUUUAACACUAAGAUUGUUACUUAAUAUAUUUUUAUUGUUAUAAUAUAUUACUAUAUCACUAUUUAUUUACAUCUGCUCAGUUUAAAACCCACUGUAUUUCACACCUCUGUAGUGGAGUGCUUAGGAAUUCUGAAGAAAUUGUUUUGAACUCAAUUUCAAAUGGGAAAGGCAGGUGGAGUACAAGGGUUUGAGCAUUACAACACCUUUACAAUCUGCAGAAAAAACUCAGGCUUUGAAAUGAGCAGACAAACAAAUAUCUGCCCAAAUCUUGAAGAUCACAUCUUGUACAGCAGGACACAAAGCUUAUGUCCAGUUGUCCAGAAAAUACAGAAAUAUAGUUCUCAAAUGUAUAGCAUAUGUUAAAGAAUACAUAAAUCAAACAGCUAAUGAGCAACAGCCCAAUGAUUCAGGUUUUUUGUACACAAAAUUCACCUUGGGGUAUGUUGGUUUAAGGAAAAAUAUUAACAUUUUUCUGUAGUUCAAAGUAUCAUGCCUGUGCCUUGUGAGUUAUAGUAAGAAGGGCACAGCAUGACUGUGACUGGUCUGGGGUCAAUAUCCAUUUCCCGCUGCAAUAGAAAUAAGGAAUUUGAUUUCUAAAGGUGUCAUUUUAGGGAUUUUUGACAUGAUUUUCCUAUUGUAAUGUAAAAUAAGAGAGGGCAAUCAUUAUUCAGUUCCUAAGAAGGCAAUUGAAUUCUUUAGGUCUCAUGAAAGUAAAAUAGAUUUAAGAAUGGGAAGGAAUAUCCUAGAAAUUUUAAAAAAAUACCAAAAGGAGGUGGGCAGUGGAGAAGAGGAACAUUGCUACUGCUUGGCAGGAAUCCUGUGUUAUUCUUUGGGUUCUUCACAUGCUACAGAAGUAAAUUCUACUGACCAUAAGCGAGUGGGGAGGAUCAUUUUAUUAAGUGUUUGUAAAACCACCCGACAUUUCUGGAUGGAAAAAUCCUACACAAGCAAAGCAAUAUUCCAUUCCAGUAUUGACUGUUUCUUCCCUAUCUCAGCACUCUGAGUGAACACAAGAGCACCUCCACGUCAUAAGAUUUAAUUUUGUAGAUUUUUGUCUAUGUCCUUAAGGGUUUUUUAAAUGGAAAAAAAAAA